RNAcentral lists this ribosomal RNA (221 nucleotides) under uncultured bacterium. RNAcentral's name for it is "partial 16S ribosomal RNA". It matches the Rfam family "Bacterial small subunit ribosomal RNA", at positions 112 to 334 of the family's 1533-position model. The record is from RNAcentral.
CGGACGUGGGUAACCUGCCUCAUACAGGGGAUAACAGUUAGAAAUGACUGCUAAUACCGCAUAAGCGCACAGUGCUGCAUGGCACAGUGUGAAAAACUCCGGUGGUAUGAGAUGGACUCGCGUCUGAUUAGCUAGUUGGUGGGGUAAUGGCCCACCAAGGCGACGAUCAGUAGCCGACCUGAGAGGGUGACCGGCCACAUUGGGACUGAGACACGGCCCAA